CCUACGGGUGGCAGCAGUGGGGAAUAUUGGGCAAUGGGCGCAAGCCUGACCCAGCAACGCCGCGUGAAGGAAGAAGGCUUUCGGGUUGUAAACUUCUUUUGACAGGGAAGAGCAGAAGACGGUACCUGUCGUAUCAGCCACGGCUAACUACGUGCCAGCAGCCGCGGUAAUACGUAGGUGGCAAGCGGUGUCCGGAUUUCCUGGGUUUAAAGGGCGUGUAGCCGGGCUGGCAAGUCAGAUGUGAAAUACGGGGGCUCAACCCCCGAACUGCAUUUGAAACUGGUGGUCUUGAGUAUCGGAGAGGCAGGCGGAAUGCCUGGUGUAGCGGGGAAAUGCGUAGAGAUCAGGAGGAACACCGAUGGCGAAGGCGGCCUUCUGGACGACAACUGACGGUGAGGCGCGAAAGCGUGGGGAGCAAACAGGAUUAGAUACCCGGGUAGUC
RNAcentral lists this ribosomal RNA (442 nucleotides) under uncultured bacterium. RNAcentral's name for it is "partial 16S ribosomal RNA". It matches the Rfam family "Bacterial small subunit ribosomal RNA", at positions 338 to 795 of the family's 1533-position model. The record is from RNAcentral.